UACCAGCUCCUCGAGUGGUCAGGACGAUUAUUGGGCCUAAAGCACCCGUAGCCGGUUCCAUAAGUCCUCUGUUAAAUCCAACCGCCUAACGGUUGAGCUGCAGAGGAUACUGCGGGACUAGGAGGCGGGAGAGGCGGACGGUACUCCGUGGGUAGGGGUAAAAUCCUUUGAUCCGCGGAAGACCACCAGUGGCGAAGGCGGUCCGCCAGAACGCGCUCGACGGUGAGGGGUGAAAGCUGGGGGAG
RNAcentral lists this ribosomal RNA (245 nucleotides) under uncultured archaeon. RNAcentral describes it as "partial 16S ribosomal RNA". It matches the Rfam family "Archaeal small subunit ribosomal RNA", at positions 474 to 719 of the family's 1478-position model. The record is from RNAcentral.